This 38-nucleotide non-coding RNA is filed under the name unclassified sequences. RNAcentral's name for it is "S4-Bacteroidia ribosomal protein leader". It matches the Rfam family "S4-Bacteroidia ribosomal protein leader". The record is from RNAcentral.
GAUUGCACCAAUCAACAACCUCUCUGCAAUCGCGGCUG